This 211-nucleotide unclassified non-coding RNA is filed under the name soil metagenome. RNAcentral describes it as "partial contains 5.8S ribosomal RNA, internal transcribed spacer 2, and large subunit ribosomal RNA". The record is from RNAcentral.
AACGAGGCCGACCUGCGGCUGAGUUACCUGCGGAGGGAUCAUUACCGAGUUUACAACUCCCAAACCCCUGUGAACAUACCACUUGUUGCCUCGGCGGAUCAGCCCGCUCCCGGUAAAACGGGACGGCCCGCCAGAGGACCCCUAAACUCUGUUUCUAUAUGUAACUUCUGAGUAAAACCAUAAAUAAAUCAAAACUUUUAACAAUGGAUCU